CACAAAUCGAAAGACAAAAGGAAAAACCCAAAACCCAAAAUCGAGAAGAAAAUGGAGGACAACAAGCAUUUACCUUGCUUAAAGGAAGAUGGUCAAUAGAACUUCCCAUUUCGAACACCGACAACAGCGACAAUGAAGACGAGAAUGAAGACGCACAACACAGGGACAAAGAAGACGCACAGUGAGAAAGAAAACGAAGAGGGAGAAGGAAAUCGAAGAGAGAACCUUCGUUUCUAAUGAAAGAGGGCAAGGGUAUAAUUGGAAUUCGAAUUUUCAGAAACCUUCCUCAUUUACGUUGUCAUAUUUUAUUAAUAAAACUAAAAACAAAAAUGACCAAUGACAAGUUAACAAUUGGCAUUAUCAAAUGUGUGUUAAAAAUGCGUUGUUAAAAUAACGGGACCCAUCGCCAAAUUUAUGUAACCUCUUCCGUCCUUUGGAUGCAAUCACUUUCUUCCAAUCAGUCCCACCAUCACUUUCAUGUGCCUCAUUUUAUUCGCUUCUCCUUCAUGUGCCUCAUUUUAUUCGCUUCUCCUUCAUGUGCCCCAUCACUUCUUCUACUAACCUAAGAAAACAUUCUCACCCCAAAAAAUACUCUCACUUAAAUCAUAUACCCUUGCCACCAACACAUUCCUCUAUGAAAAUGAAUGUCCACGAACCAUACAAGGCAGUAGUAUCAACCAUUUUCCACCAUAACUUAACCACCUACCCUUACUCAAUGUUCUCACACACUACUUCAUAGAAUAUAGAAAUUCCAAAGUUAGUUCCUAAAACAUGUAACCCUACAUAAAAAAAGAUCUUUAUGCCUUUACCCAUGUUCACUAUACCUCUCGGUUUCAUCAACACAGUUUUUUUCUACCCACAUAAACAACAACCCAUCACACAUACACCCUAUGCACCCACGUCCACGGUACUCACCAAUGAGAUCAAACAUCAUGUGAUUUCAUACAACCAAAAUCAAUUAUGCACAUAAAACUUAACUCCCCUUACACAUAUAUCCAUUCCCAUCAUUUAAAGAAUCAUAACCAAACACAACAACAAAGCAAUGUCAGUUCCUCUUGCCUUUUUGGAUUCAAACCUCCAAUGUUUUUGACUCCAAAGUUGCCUAGCAAGAAGCUUCUCCCUCGUGACAAUGCCUCUCCUUCUGGUGGCAACAUCUCUCCUUCGCAUUCUCCCCCUUUCUCAUGUUCAGAUGCAAAGCCAAAACCUAAGGAUCCUCCACUUUCUUCUCAAAGGCUCAAAGAUUGUGUAUCGGUGGGUUCGAGGGCUUUCUUUUCCCUCUCCCAUGGCUAUGGUGCUAUCCUUCCAAUUCUAACCUAACCACCCUGAAACCUCUCUCACAAUUGGGCCCUGACACUUGGGCUCUAACUCUUGUUGAGAUGCCCAACUUGAAGGGUGUUAGUUACCCUAUUAAACUCCUCCAUUAACUAAGAUUUCCCACUUUUAAACCUAAAAAAUAAAACCGAAUAACUUCCCCUAAUAAACAUAAAGUGGAAACCGUUAUUUUCCCAAAAGACUCACUGCAACCAUGUUCACUUUUGACACUACACUAUACUUGUUUCUUUCGUGCUUGCAUGUCAUGAAAAAUAUAAAAAGAAACAUUUUCUCUCCUUGAAACAAAUUAAAAACCAUGCAUUCAUUUUUUAAAUAAUAAGAUUCUCUCAUUAAUCAAUACACCAAUUUUCGUCUCUUCAAAAAUUAAAACUCAUUUACAUAACCAUCUUUUAAUUAUGCUUCUCUCUCUUUGAUUCAAACUCAUGCACCAUUCUUACGUAAAAGUAUCUCUCUGCAUUUAAUUCUCCCAAUCUUUUCUCUCUCUGCACUUAAUUCUCCCAACCAAGCUCCUUCUCUUUCUUUAGUGUGGGUCCCACACUACCAUUGCUAAUCAAAAGAAAAGAUAAGCAACAUAUGUCCCUCCAAGGUUCAAACUCAUGACCUUGUAACACGCCC
RNAcentral lists this long non-coding RNA (1947 nucleotides) under Vigna radiata. RNAcentral describes it as "long non-coding RNA (VRAD_LNC001887)". The record is from RNAcentral. Lineage: Eukaryota; Viridiplantae; Streptophyta; Magnoliopsida; Fabales; Fabaceae.